Molecule: ribosomal RNA, 578 nt
Filed under: uncultured bacterium
Lineage: Bacteria
Description: bacterial SSU rRNA
Rfam family: Bacterial small subunit ribosomal RNA
Source: RNAcentral
ACGGGUGAGUAACACGUGGGUAAUCUGCCCUGCACUCUGGGAUAAGCCUUGGAAACGGGGUCUAAUACCGGAUAUCACUUCCCUGGGCAUCCAGGGUUGUUGAAAGUUCUGGCGGUGCAGGAUGAACCCGCGGCCUAUCAGCUUGUUGGUGGGGUAGUGGCCUACCAAGGCGACGACGGGUAGCCGGCCUGAGAGGGUGACCGGCCACACUGGGACUGAGACACGGCCCAGACUCCUACGGGAGGCAGCAGUGGGGAAUAUUGCACAAUGGGCGCAAGCCUGAUGCAGCGACGCCGCGUGAGGGAUGACGGCCUUCGGGUUGUAAACCUCUUUCGCCAGGGACGAAGCGCAAGUGACGGUACCUGGAUAAGAAGCACCGGCUAACUACGUGCCAGCAGCCGCGGUAAUACGUAGGGUGCGAGCGUUGUCCGGAUUUAUUGGGCGUAAAGAGCUCGUAGGCGGUUUGUCGCGUCGGCCGUGAAAUCUCCACGCUUAACGUGGAGCGUGCGGUCGAUACGGGCAGACUUGAGUUCGGUAGGGGAGACUGGAAUUCCUGGUGUAGCGGUGAAAUGCGCAGA